Rhinolophus ferrumequinum (greater horseshoe bat) is the source of this 6904-nucleotide RNA transcript. It is a transcript of the gene named C3 and PZP like alpha-2-macroglobulin domain containing 8, with no coding region annotated. The record is from RefSeq and is a predicted model, not a curated record. NCBI's taxonomy places the organism in Eukaryota, Metazoa, Chordata, Mammalia, Chiroptera, Rhinolophidae. The transcript is spliced from 42 exons.
GGCGCAGAGCGGGGCGCAUGGCGCCGGGCGCACGGCGCGGGGGCUGUGAACAAAGGGCCCCCGGCGGCGCAGCGGGGACGGAGGCGCUCGGACCCCGGCCCCGGCCCAACCCCGGCCCGCCCCUCUCCCCCGGCGCGGCGCCUCCGCAGAGCCGGAAAAUGUGGGGCGCCCUGCUCUGGUCGCCGCUCUGGCUCCUGCUGCUGCUUUCGCCGCGGGACGGCGUGCACGCUGCACAGCCCCAGGCCCCGGGCUAUUUGAUCACUGCACCCUCUGUCUUCCGCUCGGGAGUGGAGGAAGUCAUCAGCCUGACCAUCUUUAACUCCCCAAGGGAAGUCACGGUCCAGGUUCAGCUGGUGGCCCAGGGCGAGGCUGUGGCACGGAACCAGGGAGCCAUCCUGGAUAAAGGGACAAUCAAACUCAAGGUGCCCACGGGGCUCCGGGGCCAGGCCCUCCUGAAGGUGUGGGGCCUUGGUCGGCAAGCAGAGGAGGGCCCCCUGUUCCACAACCAGACCUCAGUGACCGUGGAUGGCCGGGGAACCUCUGUGUUCAUCCAGACUGACAAGCCAGUGUACAGGCCCCAGCACCGAGUGCUCAUAAGUGUCUUCACCGUCACCCCAGACCUGAGGCCGGUCAGCGAGAAGCUGGAAGCCUACAUCCUGGACCCCCGGGGCUCCAGGAUGAUGGAGUGGAGACACUUGGAGCCGGUCUGCUGCGGUAUCACCAACAUGACCUUCCCCUUGUCCGACCAGCCGGUGCUGGGAGAAUGGUUCAUUUUUGUCGAAAUGCAAGGCCACCUGUACAACAAGUCCUUUGAAGUUCAGAAGUAUGUGCUGCCAAAGUUUGAGCUCCUUAUUGACCCACCCCACUAUAUCAGGGACCUGGAUAGCUGUGAGACCGGCACUGUGCAGGCCAGGUAUACCUUUGGGAAACCUGUCUCCGGGACCUUAGUGAUCAACAUGACUGUGAAUGGCGUGGGGUACUACAGCCAGGAGGUGGGGCGCCCCAUUCUUAGGACCAUGAAGAUCCACGGCUCCCAGGACUUUGACAUCUGCGUGAAGGACAUGAUCCCGGCCGACGUCCCUGAGCACUUCCGGGGCAUAGUCAGCAUCUGGGCCAUGGUCACCACUGUGGAUGGGAGCCAGCAGGUGGCCUUUGAUGACUCCACCCCCGUCCAGAGGCAGCUGGUAGACAUCCGGUACUCCAAGGUCACCAGGAAGCAGUUCAAGCCGGGUCUGUCCUAUGUGGGGAUGGUGGAGCUGUCCUACCCUGAUGGCAGCCCAGCUGAGGGGGUGACAGUCCAAAUCAGGGCAGAGCUGACACCAAAGGACAACAUCUACACUACGGAAUCUGUGUCCCGGGAAGGGCUGGUGGCGUUUGAAAUCCCCUCCAUCCCCAUGUCAGCCCAGCAUGUGUGGCUGGAGACCAAGGUGACAGCGCUCAACGGAAAGCCUGCGGGGACCCAGUACCUGCCCAGCUACCUUUCCCUCAGCAGCUGGUACUCCCCCAGCCAGUGCUACCUGCAGCUGCAGCCGCCCUCCCACCCCCUGCAGGUCGGGGAAGAAGCCCAUUUUUCUGUGAAGUCCACGUGUCCCUGCAAUUUCACCUUGUACUACGAGGUGGCCGCACGGGGCAACAUUGUGCUCUCGGGCCAGCAGCCCGCCCACAUCACCCAGCAGAGAAGCAGGCGGGCGGCCCCGGAGAAACCAAUUCGCUUAACACACCUUUCCGAGACAGAGCCCCCUCCAGCUCCAGCAGCAGAGGUCAAUGUGUGCGUGACCUCUCUCCAACUGGCUGUGACCCCCAGCAUGGUCCCCCUCGGCCGUCUGCUUGUCUUCUAUGUCAGGGAGAAUGGAGAAGGGGUCGCUGACAGCCUCCAAUUCACUGUGGGAACCUUCUUUGAAAACCAGGUUUCACUGAUGUAUUCAGCAAAUGAGACCCAACCUGGGGAAGUUGUGGACCUGCGGGUCAGGGCUGCAAGGGGCAGCUGCGUGUGUGUCACUGUGGUUGAUAAAAGCGUCUACCUGCUGAGGUCUGGGUUUCGGCUGACUCCUGCCCAGGUUUUCCGAGAAUUAGAAGAUUACGACAUUUCUGAUGCCUUCGGGGUGUCACGGGAGGACGGACCCUUCUGGUGGGCUGGGCUGACGGCCCGACGACGCCGGCGCUCCUCUGUCUUCCCCUGGCCCUGGGGUGUCACCAAGGACUCCGGGUUUGCCUUCGCCGAAACGGGACUGGUGGUGAUGACUGACCUGGUGAGCCUGAACCACCGGCAGGAUGGCGGCCUGUACACCGACGAGGCUGUCCCCGCCUUCCAGCCCCACACGGGGAGCCUGGUGGCAGUGGCGUCCUCCAGGCAACCCCCCAGAGCAGAGAAGAGGAAAAGGACCUUCUUCCCGGAAACGUGGAUUUGGCAGUGUCUCAACAUCAGUGACCCGUCCGGCGAGGAGACACUCAGUGUGCAGGUCCCUGACUCCAUCACCAGCUGGGUGGCCGAGGCUGUGGGUCUGUCUGCCACGUGGGGUCUGGGCAUCGCUGAGCCCACCCUGCUGAAGACCUUCAAGCCUUUCUUUGUGGACUUCACGCUGCCUCUCCAUGUGGUUCGUGGGGAGCAGGCCAAGAUCCCGCUCAGCAUUUACAACUACAUGGGCGGCUGCGCUGAGGUGUAUGUGAAGAUCUCGGUUCCCAAAGGCAUCCGGUUUGUGGGGCAUCCUGGCAAACGCCAUCUGACCAAGAAGAUGUGCCUGGCCCCUGGGGAGACCGAGCCCACCUGGGUGGUUCUGUCCUUCAGUGACCUGGGGCUCAGCAACAUCACAGCCAAAGCCCUAGCUUAUGGAGAAACAAGCUGCUGCCGGGACGGGAAGUCCAUCAAACACCCAGAGGAGAAUUACACUGUCAGGAGGGACCACAUCAGGCGCAGCGUGGUGGUUGAGCCUGAAGGAGCGCCCCGCACAUACACCUACAGCGCUUUCUUCUGUCCCAACGAGAGAGUCCAUAUCUCCACACCCAACAAGUACGAGUUCCAGUAUGUGCAGCAGCCACGGCGCCUCACCUGUUUUGACAUGGCUGUGCGAGCACACAAUGAUGCCCGCGUGGCCUUGUCCCCUGGGCCCCAGGACACGGCCGGCAUGAUCGAGAUUGUCCUGGGGGGACAUCAGAACACCAGGUCCUGGAUCUCUACCAGCAAGAUGGGAGAGCCUGUGGCUAGCACACACACAGCCAAGAUCCUCUCCUGGGAUGAGUUCAGAACGUUCUGGAUCAGCUGGCAUGGCGGGCGCAUCCAGGUUGGCUAUGGUCCAGAGCCAUCCAACGAGUCUGUCAUCAUGGCCUGGACCCUCCCGAGGGCACCAGAGGUCCAGUUCAUUGGCUUCUCUACUGGUUGGGGCUCCAUGGGCGAGUUCCGUAUCUGGAGGAAGAUGGAGGUAGACGAGAGCUACAGUGAAGCCUUCACCCUGGGGGUUCCGCACAGCGCCAUCCCCGGGUCUGAGCGGGCGGCCGCUUCCAUCAUAGGAGACGUCAUGGGGCCAACCCUGAAUCACCUUAGCCACCUCCUGCGGUUGCCCUUUGGCUGUGGGGAGCAAAACAUGAUCCACUUCGCGCCCAACGUCUUUGUCCUGAAGUAUCUGCAGAAAACCCAGCAGCUCAGCCCCGAGGUGGAGAGGGAGACCACGGAUUACCUGGUACAAGGCUACCAGCGGCAACUGACCUACAAACACCAGGAUGGCUCCUACAGUGCUUUCGGGGAGCGGGACGCAUCAGGAAGCAUGUGGCUCACGGCUUUUGUCCUGAAGUCCUUUGCCCAAGCCCGCAGCUUCAUCUUCAUUGACCCACGGGAGCUGGCGGCCACCAAGGGCUGGAUCAUCAGGCAGCAGCGGGCAGAUGGCUCGUUCCCGGCCGUGGGCAGGAUUCUGAACAAGGACAUCCAGGGUGGGAUCCACGGCACAGUCCCACUGACGGCCUACGUGGUGGCUGCGCUCCUGGAGCUUGGCGCAGCCUCAGAGGAGGAGAGGGGUGCCAUUGCCAGAGCGCAGCAUUUUCUGGAGUCCAACGUGGCCCUGGCCUCAGACCCUUACAUCAGUGCCCUGACCGCCUACACACUGACCCUGCUCCGCAGCCCGGCAGCCCCCGCGGCCCUGCGGAAGCUCCGCAGCCUGGCCAUCAUGCAGGAUGGGGUCACACACUGGAGCCUGACAGGUUCCCGGGAUGGGGACAAGGACACCUUCCUGAGCUUCACUGACGGCAUGUCUCAGGCAGCUGCCUCUUCCAUUGCAGUGGUCUCUGCCGAGGUGGAAAUGACGGCCUACGCCCUGCUGACCUACACCCUCCUGGGCGACGUGGCCACUGCCCUGCCUGUGGUGAAGUGGCUGUCCCAGCAGCGGAAUGCACUAGGGGGCUUCUCCUCCACUCAGGACACCUGUGUGGCUCUGCAGGCCUUGGCAGAGUAUGCCAUCUUGUCCUAUGCUGGCGGUGUCAACCUCACUGUGUCCCUGGCCUCCACCAACCUGGACUACCAGGAGACUUUCGGGCUGCACAGGGCCAACCAGAAGGUCCUGCAGACAGCGGUGAUCCCCAGCCUCCCCACAGGGCUGUUUGUGAGUGCCAAGGGUGAAGGCUGCUGCCUGAUGCAGAUUGACGUCACCUACAACGUGCCGGACCCAGUGGCCAAGCCAGCCUUCCAGCUGCUCGUGAGCCUCCAGGAACCCGAGGCUGAGCAGGCUCAGUCCCCGGCCCCAGCCUCCUCGGCCGAUGACGACGACCCUGCAGCUGACCAGCACCGCCAGGAGUACCAGGUGACCCUGGAAGUAUGCACCAGGUGGCUGCAUGCAGGGUCCUCCAACAUGGCUGUCCUGGAGGUGCCCCUGCUGUCGGGCUUCCGCGUGGAUAUGGAGAGCCUGGAGCAGCUGCUCCUUGACCAGCAAGUGGCGCUGAAGAGGUACGAGGUGGCUGGACGCAGAGUUCUCUUCUACUUUGAUGAGAUCCCCAGCCAGUGCCUGACAUGCGUGCGGUUCCGGGCGCUCCGCGAACAUGUGGUCGGGAGGACAUCCGCGCUGCCAGUCUCCGUGUACGACUACUACGAGCCUGCCUUUGAGGCCACGCGCUUUUACAAUGUCAGCGCGCGCAGCCCGCUCGCGCAGGAGCUGUGCACAGGCCCCGCGUGCAACGAGGUGGAGCGCUCCGCCGCACAGGGCCCCGGCUGGUCGCCUGGCGAGCGGGGCUCCACAGCCGCCCGGGAGGAGGGGGCGACAGUCACUCGCUGCGGCUGCUCACGUGACUGUGGCGUUCACGAGGACCCAGUGUGUGGCUCUGACGGUGUCGUCUACGCCAACGCCUGCCGCCUGCAGGAGGCCUCCUGCCGCGGGCGCGAGAGGCUGGAGCCCGCGCCCCCUGGCCACUGCGACCUCGGUGAGGACCCACCCGCGCCCGACCUCGGAGCCGCCUACGCCAGUCUCUGCUUACAACUACAACUAUGACCCCGCGCCCCUGGACCCUGGGCACCUGGGGGGCCAUGAGGCCAUGGACUUGGAGGGGGAGGCUGAAGACAGUCAGAGCGGCUUCUCCUCCUAACGCGCAGAACAAGACAUGAUUUGGCUGCGUCGUGUCCCGGUCCAUUCUGCUGGAACGGAGCCACUGAUGGGAGAACUUCCUGGACUGCCUGGUGGGCUUGUGGACCCUGCCCCAAGUAACUCCCACCUCCAGAUGAACCCUAUGAAGAGAACCGCAGAGACCUGACCUUCCCCAAUGGAUGACGGGCCUCUUGGGGACCCAGCCCCCACCUCCACAGGGGGAAGGCCUUUGUGGGGGUGGCUGGAGGCUCUUUGCACCCCCCCAAGCUCCCCAGCUGCAGCUGGAGCUCCAGGCUCCCCACCCUCCAUUCCAGGACCGGAUGUACCCCCCCAUUGCAGGCCAGAGCAGCUCCCUCAGCCGGACUUUCUGCUCCCCGGAGAAGGGCCGUUUCUGGGAAGAACUCACAGCCAAAGGGCUGUUUCUGAGGCGACAAGACUCGGGCCAAAUCAAGGACAUUGCACUCAUCCCGUCUUCAGCAGCUUUGAAACAAAACAAGCUGCUUCUCUCCAAAAUGCAAAGCCCCAGCCUCCCCUUUGGGGCACCCAGACUGCUGACCCCGAAUUGUCGCAGCCCCGCACCACCACCCCCACCUCAACCCCCACCCCACCCCGCCCCAGUCUUGUCCCAGAGGUGCCUGAAUGUUAGGUCUUGGGCAGAUGAACCUGGGUUUUCUUACGGUCUGGGCUCUCCCCAUGAGCCCCUGGUCCGCUGGCUCCCCACUUGGAGGGCCACCCCCUCCACAGUCUUGGGGGGGGGUGGUUGCCCCAGCUUCAUGCCCCACUGAAGCUGCAUACUCAGACCUGCCUCCCUGCCGGGCUCCUCUCCAGCUGUGGUCUGAUUCCUUUUUUGUAUCCCUUGGGCAUCCGCCUGUCUUCCCCUCACCCCCACCCACUCGUGGUAUUUAUUUCAGACCUCCACUGGGGGCAGCAUAGAGACCUACCUGUCCAUGCCUGAGGUGGCUGCCCCAAUCCAUGGGGUCCCUGUCGUGAACAUGGGCCGUUUCCCGUGCUCCUGCCCCUCGCCAGUCUACGAGAGAGGUUCACUGGCUGAGGCCCCAUUCUUCAAUCACUAGAGGCCGCUGGUGUAAUAAAAGCUCAUUUCCACAGUCACUGACGGGCUUUGGCCUGGGGGUGAGGGUGUGGAGGGGACGGCCCCAAAAGCCGAAGCCCCAGCUUCCGUCUGCCUCCUGGGUCUCUGUUCCUCCAGCUAUAGCCUAGCCUAGUCUUCCAAAGUAGGGUGGGGAGGCGGAUGUCACACACCUGCACCUCCAAAUGAUCAGAUUCCCAUACAUUUGUAAGAAAUUACACCAAUGAGAAGAGGUCCCAGUAUCCCUACCCAGACUCCC